AAGAAUUCUACAAACCCAGUUGGUAGGAAGUUAAAUUCCUGGUCUGGCAAAGGAUUGAGCAGAAAAACCUCAAGUCCCUCGCCACGGAGGAAAUCCUGUCCCAGUGACCUGCCAAGACAUGUCCGCCCUUGACUGUCUCAUCAAAGACUUGGAUUCAAUUGGCGGAGCCUGGGAAUCUGCAUUCGACGAUGUCCUGAAAUGGUUUUGAUAUCAAAUUUAGGAACUGUUUAGUCCCCUCACUACAAUUUACAGGUGAGUGAACUGA
Long non-coding RNA from Suricata suricatta (meerkat), 265 nucleotides. RefSeq lists it as uncharacterized. The record is from RefSeq and is a predicted model, not a curated record. The transcript has 3 exons. NCBI's taxonomy places the organism in Eukaryota, Metazoa, Chordata, Mammalia, Carnivora, Herpestidae.